RNAcentral lists this long non-coding RNA (1429 nucleotides) under Gallus gallus (chicken). Its description in RNAcentral is "lncRNA (ENSGALG00010030081.1)". Lineage: Eukaryota; Metazoa; Chordata; Aves; Galliformes; Phasianidae. The record is from RNAcentral.
AAAGGAGCUCAGCUGCAUGCUGCUUCCCUCCAGCCCUGCAAUGGGCAGCCCAAAGUGGGGGUAGAGAGCUUUCUUCUAUAAUGGAUCUAAAUAGAGAUGCCUUGUUCUUCAAACAUGUUGAGGCUGGCCGAGAGCAUCCUUGAUAGGAUGCAGGUGGAGGAGGAUGGGACCAGCUGCUGGGAAGGAGCUGGGGCCAACAGUGGAGGCUCAAGGUGCACCUGAGAGGAGAGCUGAGGCGCUGCAGCAGGAACAGCCACCAGCACAUCGCUGCGGAUGGGAGGGAGGAAGGGCAGAGGCAGCACAGUGCCCAGCAGCCCUCAGGGAUCGGGGUGCACCCGGGGUCAUCCUGUGCUCCUUCCCCCAGCGCUGACAUGGGAACGGCCCCAGUGCAGCCACCCACCGCCGCUCGCUGUGAUCCAGGGUCCUGAGCUGACCUCGCUCUGCUGCACCCACGCAGGGCAGGGAUGGCUGAAUUACUGCUCCCUGCUGCGCUCUGUACAUCCUCCUCCUGGCCGGGUGGCCUCAGGAUCUGUGGGGCUGGAUGGCUGCGUGCUCUCAGGUCAAACAGUAGCUCCAUUUUUUCCCUUGUGAAGGACCAAGAGCUUGCCCUGGUUCCAAGGAAGUAGCUGUGGAUUUUAAUUUAAUUUUAUUUUUUCCCUCCUCCGUUCUUCUUUCUGAAUCUUUUUGGGAUUUUGGGCUCUUAAUGAGGAUGCUUGGACCAGCACAGGGUGCAGCCCCAUGCAGAGGGGUGAACGCCUCUGGAGAAGCAAUGGGAGCAGCACACCAAGAGCUGGCAACCGCAGUGCCUUGGGUCUGAAACUGGGAGCUGUGUCCCUUCACAUCGCAUGGCUGCAUCCUCCCCAGCACAUCCCAUAGGGAUUAGGUGGGAUUCUGGGGGGCGCAAGGCCAAACCGCAGUGAGGGGAACGUCAAGAAGGGAAAAAUGUCACCCUCAGAAACAAUUAAACUGCUUAAUAAAAUCCGUUGCCUCUCGGAGUGCUCGCUGUUCUUUUCCGUUUGCCUUGGCUCAGCCACACUUACAUCAUGGCCCUAUCGCGGUGCUGCCGAGUGGACGGGUUUGAUUGCACAGGAAACCGGCGCUUUGGCAAACUUCUCUGCCCCGGUAAAGCCAGGCCAAGAGCUUAAUGCCUUUGCUUUGCAGAAAAAAAUCUUCCCUGUCCUUUCCCUCUUUCCUUUCUGCAACCCCUUAACCAUCACCCGCCAACUAGGCGGCCACCCCUCACAUGCCUCCUGCUCCAAAGCGCCUGAGAUGCAGAUUAAUUCCCCUUAAAUCAUGUUGUUUCACGUCCGUGGACCGUGUGUCCCCUCCCACCCUGUAGAGCUGAAGCACUGGAAGGUGCUGUGUGGAAACUGCAACGUUAAAAAAGGAUAUUUAUGUAAUGGAAAUGUCCUUUGAUUUUUUUUUUUUU